RNAcentral lists this ribosomal RNA (507 nucleotides) under uncultured eukaryote. Its description in RNAcentral is "SSU rRNA". It matches the Rfam family "Eukaryotic small subunit ribosomal RNA", at positions 37 to 554 of the family's 1831-position model. The record is from RNAcentral.
UCAAAGAMUAAGCCAUGCAUGUCUAAGUAUAAAUGUUAUACAGUGAAACUGCGAAUGGCUCAUUAAAACAGUUAUAGUUUAUUUGAUAAUCGAAUUUACAUGGAUAACCGUGGUAAUUCUAGAGCUAAUACAUGCUGGUUAGCCUGACUUCGAGGAAGGGCUGUAUUUAUUAGAUAACAAACCAAUAUUCCCUGUGUCUAUUGUGAUGACUCAUAAUAACUGAUCGAAUCGCAUGGACUUUGUCCGCGAUACAUCAUUCAAGUUUCUGCCCCAUCAGCUUUCGAUGGUAGUGUAUUGGACUACCAUGGCUUUAACGGGUAACGGAGGAUUAGGGUUCGAUUCCGGAGAGGGAGCCUGAGAAACGGCUACCACAUCUAAGGAAGGCAGCAGGCGCGUAAAUUACCCAAUCCUGACUCAGGGAGGUAGUGACAAGAAAUAACGGACCGAGGCUCAUGCUUCGGGAUUGCAAUGAGUAAAAUUUAAACCCCUUUACAAGGAUCAAUUGGA